CGUAACGGCCGACGCGGCCCGGCAUUUUUCUCUAAAUCGGCAGUAAAUACAGCUGAGUAAAAUUAGCUUGGUUUUCUUCCUUCUUUUGUAACUGAACUGUUUUUAUUAAAAAUCCUAUUUGAAUAUGUAGAAAAAGUGGGGAUGUCCUGUAGCAUAUCGUAGCUUUUCUUGUUUACAGGGUGCUCAGAAAGCAUGCGUCCCUUAGAGUCCCACGGAAAGGUUCUCAGUGCGCUCUCUAUCAAGUGCUAUGAGUCUUGAUAAAUUGGAGAAGAGCCCAAGAGAAAUUUUUCAUCCCUUGAUAUAAAAGGGAUCGGUGAAUUUUAACUUUGGAGUCCUCUAUGCUAAGGAUGCUCAGCUUACAGUAUUUGCUGCAGCUCUGCUUACCCAAGCUUUGGGUUCCUUCUGUCCCACUGGGAGUUGCCCAAUUUGGUUGCAUCUGGUGAAAUUCACCCUGAGACCUUACAGAACCAGCUCCAACUACGUGAGAGCCAUUUGCAGUUCUCUCCAGACACCUGGAGAAGGGGCGAUGUUUCUGAGGAUCCGGCGAGCGUGCUUCUAUCAAAACUCAGUCUGUGAAAUUCCUGGGGAAAACCCUUCUGUGUCCUGAAGGGUUCAAACUCUGGUGAGGAUCCAGUUAUCAGGUGCUCACCUGGAUGGUUCCAGCUCCCAAAGGGAAAGACUCUCGUAUCCUUGUCGUCGGGCUUGGUGCUGUCCAAGAAGAUACAGAGACUAAAAAAAUCAUAAGAAGCAAAAUAUGACUGCAGGGAAAAGAAGCUGGAGAGAACAGAAGACUCAUCACGGCGGGACAGCGUGAGGACUGAAAGUGUAAGAAGAUGUGGAGGGAAACAGAGAAUCUGACAGGAGCAGCGAACGCACGAGUGCACGAAUUUUGCUUUUUGCUUGGAUGUAAACUCAGGAGUUGAGAGGAAUUUGGGAGUGAGAAGGGACAUUUUAGAAGGAGAAGAAGAAAAAGAAGUUGUUGCUACAGUCCUGGCAAAAGAUUUUGUUCUAGCUAAUAAAAGAAGUUAGCUUAAAAAACAAAAAGGAAAAAAUGUAGUGGUUUUUUUUUUUUCCUUCACUCUUAUAUUCAUUGGUGGUAUAUGGUGUGUUGUUUUAUUUCUUGGUAUUAUUAAGUCUGUGUAAAUUGUUUUUUGAGUGAAGCUGACUUUCUGGAUGGGUUGGUUUGUAUUUGAGGCAGGAUUAAUUUCAAUAGGGUUCUUUCAUAGAUUUCUGAUGGGUAAUACUGGGAUUUUGGUUUUGUUUACUGUAUGUAUAAACAUAGAGCUUUGGUAGGGCCAGCUGGGCUGCUGGAGAUUUGGGUGUGAAUUUAUUAGAUGGCUUUUGUUAAAUGCAGUUUUUAAUUUUUGAAAUGUUUUUCAAUGUAGUGGUUUUAAGGUGGUUUUUAAGAAUUCAUUGUAUUGUUUUAUCUUGUUUGUAGUUGGUGUAUGAUAAGGGAUGUGGUGUGACUUUUUGAACAUUAUGAUUUUGGUGUUCCUAAGUUCUGAUUUCUUUGUGGUUCAAUAGUUUUUUUUAUUUUUAUUUUUUGGGACAGGGGCAUUUAUAUGGUGGGUUUUUAUAGGCAAUAUGUUUUUUAAUUUAGGUAGUGAUAUUUUUUAGUAUUUUAAUGGUUUAGGUUUUUUAUUUUCAUGGUUUUUAUUUUUUGUUUUAAUUUUUUCAAAUAACUUUGAUAGAUUAUAGGUUAUUAUUUGUGCAUUAGCCUAAAGGUAGAGCUUUGGGGACUUUUUUUAGUAAUGUUUAGGAUCAGUUGUACAGUUUUGAGUCUAGUGAGUUGCUUUGCUUGAAUUUUUAUUGUGUGUUUGUUUUUAUUAGCAGUUGUGUCAUUUUCAAGGUGUGUUUGAGUUUUUUGGGGUUUUUGAGAUACUGGUUUAGGAGGAAGUUUAUGAUGAGCAUGUGCGGAGGUUUCGGGCUACUUUAUAGUGGGAUUUAAAAUUUAUUUACAGUUAGGUUUAUUUGAGUUUUUAUUAGGGU
This is a long non-coding RNA of Melospiza georgiana, 1989 nucleotides long. RefSeq lists it as uncharacterized. The transcript is spliced from 6 exons. The record is from RefSeq and is a predicted model, not a curated record. NCBI's taxonomy places the organism in Eukaryota, Metazoa, Chordata, Aves, Passeriformes, Passerellidae.